Molecule: transfer RNA, 72 nt
Filed under: Microcaldota archaeon
Lineage: Archaea; Nanobdellati; Microcaldota
Also listed under: 1 other name
Description: Candidatus Micrarchaeota archaeon (hot springs metagenome) tRNA-Tyr
Rfam family: tRNA
About the family: Transfer RNA (tRNA) molecules are approximately 80 nucleotides in length. Their secondary structure includes four short double-helical elements and three loops (D, anti-codon, and T loops).
Source: RNAcentral
CCCGCGGUAGCUCAAUGGUAGAGCGUCCGGCUGUAGACCGGAAGGUUGUGUGUUCAACUCACACCCGCGGGA